RNAcentral lists this ribosomal RNA (564 nucleotides) under uncultured bacterium. Its description in RNAcentral is "partial 16S ribosomal RNA". It matches the Rfam family "Bacterial small subunit ribosomal RNA", at positions 355 to 912 of the family's 1533-position model. The record is from RNAcentral.
UGGGGAAUUUUGGACAAUGGGCGAAAGCCUGAUCCAGCAAUGCCGCGUGUGUGAAGAAGGCCUUCGGGUUGUAAAGCACUUUUGUCCGGAAAGAAAUCCUUGGCUCUAAUACAGUCGGGGGAUGACGGUACCGGAAGAAUAAGCACCGGCUAACUACGUGCCAGCAGCCGCGGUAAUACGUAGGGUGCAAGCGUUAAUCGGAAUUACUGGGCGUAAAGCGUGCGCAGGCGGUUUGCUAAGACCGAUGUGAAAUCCCCGGGCUCAACCUGGGAACUGCAUUGGUGACUGGCAGGCUAGAGUAUGGCAGAGGGGGGUAGAAUUCCACGUGUAGCAGUGAAAUGCGUAGAGAUGUGGAGGAAUACCGAUGGCGAAGGCAGCCCCCUGGGCCAAUACUGACGCUCAUGCACGAAAGCGUGGGGAGCAAACAGGAUUAGAUACCCUGGUAGUCCACGCCCUAAACGAUGUCAACUAGUUGUUGGGGAUUCAUUUCCUUAGUAACGUAGCUAACGCGUGAAGUUGACCGCCUGGGGAGUACGGUCGCAAGAUUAAAACUCAAAGGAAUUG